RNAcentral lists this long non-coding RNA (470 nucleotides) under Malus domestica (apple). Its description in RNAcentral is "long non-coding RNA (MDOM_LNC021202)". Lineage: Eukaryota; Viridiplantae; Streptophyta; Magnoliopsida; Rosales; Rosaceae. The record is from RNAcentral.
AAUGUAUAUGGGAGACAUAGUCUAUAUACAUGGGAUGGAAAUCUAUAUUGAUAGAUUUCAAGAUAUAAAUUGAUUAUAUCAAUCCCUAAUAAUAGACAAAAGAUGCUAGGAAGUUUCUCAUAUGAUGAAAAACUUUAAUCAGAAAGACAACUCCAGUUAGACUAGGAAGUUGCUUUUCUCAAAGGGAACGUACCCUUUGACUCCCAAAGAAAUAAUUCGUAAAUAAAAUCCUUUAUGCAUACGUAUAAAGGUGAUUUAUGUAUUUCAUAUUGUAUGAAAAACAUUGAUAUGAGUUGUACCUAGAAUGGUACAAGACGAUAUCAGUGCAAGCCCAGGAUCAGAACCAUGGCAACUGUCAAGUGAGUCCUUAAGUAUUUAAGAAAUACUAAAGGAUAAAUCCCUCAAAGAUCGAGGAAGAAUUAGAGUAACGUAAUGGAAGCGUAAAUGUAUUAGAUUAUGAAUCUAAUCCA